GAUUGAACGCUGGCGGCAUGCCUUACACAUGCAAGUCGAACGGCAGCACGGAGCUUGCUCUGGUGGCGAGUGGCGAACGGGUGGGUAAUAUAUCGGAACGUACCCUAGAGUGGGGGAUAACGUAGCGAAAGUUACGCUAAUACCGCAUACGAUCUAAGGAUGAAAGUGGGGGAUCGCAAGACCUCAUGCUCGUGGAGCGGCCGAUAUCUGAUUAGCUAGUUGGUAGGGUAAAAGCCUACCAAGGCAUCGAUCAGUAGCUGGUCUGAGAGGACGACCAGCCACACUGGAACUGAGACACGGUCCACACUCCUACGGGAGGCAGCAGUGGGGAAUUUUGGACAAUGGGCGAAAGCCUGAUCCAGCAAUGCCGCGUGAGUGAAGAAGGCCUUCGGGUUGUAAAGCUCUUUCGUCAGGGAAGAAACGGUGAGAGCUAAUAUCUUUUGCUAAUGACGGUACCUGAAGAAUAAGCACCGGCUAACUACGUGCCAGCAGCCGCGGUAAUACGUAGGGUGCAAGCGUUAAUCGGAAUUACUGGGCGUAAAGCGUGCGCAGGCGGUUUUGUAAGUCUGAUGUGAAAUCCCCGGGCUCAACCUGGGAAUUGCAUUGGAGACUGCAAGGCUAGAAUCUGGCAGAGGGGGGUAGAAUUCCACGUGUAGCAGUGAAAUGCGUAGAUAUGUGG
Molecule: ribosomal RNA, 679 nt
Filed under: uncultured bacterium
Lineage: Bacteria
Description: bacterial SSU rRNA
Rfam family: Bacterial small subunit ribosomal RNA
Source: RNAcentral